This 201-nucleotide ribosomal RNA is filed under the name Clostridium sporogenes. RNAcentral describes it as "partial 23S ribosomal RNA". It matches the Rfam family "Bacterial large subunit ribosomal RNA", at positions 1262 to 1463 of the family's 2925-position model. The record is from RNAcentral. Lineage: Bacteria; Bacillati; Bacillota; Clostridia; Eubacteriales; Clostridiaceae.
CGUAAGGAGCGGUGGACUGUACAGAAGUGAGAAUGCUGGCAUAAGUAGCGAGAAAUAAGUGAGAAUCUUAUUGGCCGAAAACCUAAGGUUUCCUGGGGAAGGUGCGUCCGCCCAGGGUUAGUCGGGACCUAAGCCGAGGCCGAAAGGCGUAGGUGAUGGACAAUCGGUUGAUAUUCCGAUACCGCCUAUUUACGUUUGAGA